AGACAACCAGUCAACCAACAAGUGGGUUAGCUAGCCAUUCAACAAGAAAGCCAACCACCCAUCAAGCAAGUCAACCAGCCAUAAAAGCAGCCACUAAGGUAGCCAACUGAAACAUCUACUUCAGCUUCAAGCAGACCACCAUCAUCUGUAGCAGAUCCAGCAAGUAAAGCACCCACAACUCAAUGGUUCCAGCCCAUCUCUUGUACUCCUAAGGAAACAUGGGACACAAGAAAACCUCUAUCUCAGUCUCGAAGGGGGUUGGUACCACCAAGGGUAGUUGGGAGCAGUCAUCUGUUCUCAUAUGGGAGAGGAGGUGGAAUAAGAGCUGAGGCAUCUGGUGCAAUGUUCUCAACAGGCAGGGGCAAAGGCAAGGACAAGGUAUUUGGGAAAUGAAGAUUGGAGAAUGUGGAAGCAGAAAUUUUACUUUACUUUACUUUUUUUUGU
Long non-coding RNA from Quercus robur (English oak), 444 nucleotides. RefSeq lists it as uncharacterized. The record is from RefSeq and is a predicted model, not a curated record. Lineage: Eukaryota; Viridiplantae; Streptophyta; Magnoliopsida; Fagales; Fagaceae. The transcript is spliced from 2 exons.